CGUAAAGCGAGCGCAGGCGGAAAAAUAAGUCUAAUGUGAAAGCCCUCGGCUUAACCGAGGAAUUGCAUCGGAAACUGUUUUUCUUGAGUGCAGAAGAGGAGAGUGGAACUCCAUGUGUAGCGGUGGAAUGCGUAGAUAUAUGGAAGAACACCAGUGGCGAAGGCGGCUCUCUGGUCUGCAACUGACGCUGAGGCUCGAAAGCAUGGGUAGCGAACAGGAUUAGAUACCCUGGUAGUCCAUGCCGUAAACGAUGAGUGCUAGGUGUUGGAGGGUUUCCGCCCUUCAGUGCCGGAGCUAACGCAUUAAGCACUCCGCCUGGGGAGUACGACCGCGAGGUUGAAACUCAAAGGAAUUGACGGGGGCCCGCACAAGCGGUGGAGCAUGUGGUUUAAUUCGAAGCUACGCGAAGAACCUUACCAGGUCUUGACAUCUUGCGCUAACCUUAGAGAUAAGGCGUUCCCUUCGGGGACGCAAUGACAGGUGGUGCAUGGUCGUCGUCAGCUCGUGUCGUGAGAUGUUGGGUUAAGUCCCGCAACGAGCGCAACCCUUGUUACUAGUUGCCAGCAUUAAGUUGGGCACUCUAGUGAGACUGCCGGUGACAAACCGGAGGAAGGUGGGGAUGACGUCAAGUCAUCAUGCCCCUUAUGACCUGGGCUACACACGUGCUACAAUGGGCAGUACAACGAGAAGCGAGCCUGCGAAGGCAAGCGAAUCUCUGAAAGCUGUUCUCAGUUCGGACUGCAGUCUGCAACUCGACUGCACGAAGCUGGAAUCGCUA
This 778-nucleotide ribosomal RNA is filed under the name uncultured Bacillota bacterium. RNAcentral describes it as "bacterial SSU rRNA". It matches the Rfam family "Bacterial small subunit ribosomal RNA", at positions 559 to 1337 of the family's 1533-position model. Lineage: Bacteria; Bacillati; Bacillota. The record is from RNAcentral.